GGGGCAGCAUUCUUAGCUUGCUAAGGCGAUGGCGACCGGCGCACGGGUGAGUAACACGUAUCCACCUGCCGUCUACUCUUGGACAGCCUUCUGAAAGGAAGAUUAAUACAAGAUGGCUUCACAUGUUUAAAGGUAUUCGGUAGACGAUGGGGAUGCGUUCCAUUAGAUAGUAGGCGGGGUAACGGCCCACCUAGUCUUCGAUGGAUAGGGGUUCUGAGAGGAAGGUCCCCCACAUUGGAACUGAGACACGGUCCAAACUCUACGGGAGGCAGCAGUGAGGAAUAUUGGUCAAUGGGCGCAGGCCUGAACCAGCCAAGUAGCGUGAAGGAUGACUGCCUAUGGGUUGUAAACUUCUUUUAUAAAGGAAUAAGUCGGGUAUGUAUACCCGUUUGCAUGUACUUUAUGAAUAAGGAUCGGCUAACUCCGUGCCAGCAGCCGCGGUAAUACGGAGGAUCCGAGCGUUAUCCGGAUUUAUUGGGUUUAAAGGGAGCGUAGAUGGAUGUUUAAGUCAGUUGU
RNAcentral lists this ribosomal RNA (516 nucleotides) under uncultured bacterium. RNAcentral describes it as "bacterial SSU rRNA". It matches the Rfam family "Bacterial small subunit ribosomal RNA", at positions 66 to 595 of the family's 1533-position model. The record is from RNAcentral.